UUGCCGCAGGCAACGACCCGAAGGGCGAAACGCGCAGCGCUGAGUCAUCCUUCCCCCACCACCA
Molecule: small RNA, 64 nt
Filed under: Salmonella enterica
Lineage: Bacteria; Pseudomonadati; Pseudomonadota; Gammaproteobacteria; Enterobacterales; Enterobacteriaceae
Description: partial RtT sRNA
Rfam family: RtT RNA
About the family: This family represents a bacterial cis-regulatory element known as RtT RNA.
Source: RNAcentral